GAUGAACGCUGGCGGCGUGCCUAAUACAUGCAAGUCGAGCGAACAGACGAGGAGCUUGCUCCUCUGACGUUAGCGGCGGACGGGUGAGUAACACGUGGAUAACCUACCUAUAAGGCUGGGAUAACUUCGGGAAACCGGAGCUAAUACCGGAUAAUAUAUUGAACCGCAUGGUUCAAUAGUGAAAGACGGUUUUGCUGUCACUUAUAGAUGGAUCCGCGCCGCAUUAGCUAGUUGGUAAGGUAACGGCUUACCAAGGCGACGAUGCGUAGCCGACCUGAGAGGGUGAUCGGCCACACUGGAACUGAGACACGGUCCAGACUCCUACGGGAGGCAGCAGUAGGGAAUCUUCCGCAAUGGGCGAAAGCCUGACGGAGCAACGCCGCGUGAGUGAUGAAGGUCUUCGGAUCGUAAAACUCUGUUAUUAGGGAAGAACAAAUGUGUAAGUAACUAUGCACGCCUUGACGGUACCUAAUCAGAAAGCCACGGCUAACUACGUG
RNAcentral lists this ribosomal RNA (497 nucleotides) under uncultured bacterium. RNAcentral's name for it is "partial 16S ribosomal RNA". It matches the Rfam family "Bacterial small subunit ribosomal RNA", at positions 28 to 507 of the family's 1533-position model. The record is from RNAcentral.